Long non-coding RNA from Lycium ferocissimum, 992 nucleotides. RefSeq lists it as uncharacterized. The transcript has 3 exons. The record is from RefSeq and is a predicted model, not a curated record. Lineage: Eukaryota; Viridiplantae; Streptophyta; Magnoliopsida; Solanales; Solanaceae.
AAGACUUUAUUUUGGGGCAUUUGAUGGUGUCAAUUUGUUUUUAUAAUGUUUAGAUUCUCAUAAAGGUUUAGAUAAUGACAUGGGAGGGAUAGUCUAGAGUUAAGGACAUGGGAGGGAUAGUCUAGUUUUAAUGACAUGGGAGGGAUAAUUUGUUACAAUAUGAACAAAAUAAAUAAAUGCCUAUAUAAGGAUUUGGGAUGUAAAUUCUUUUUUAAAGGAAGGAGGAGAUGAUGUAGAAUACUUACAAACUUACGAAGAAUCAGUGUUAUAAAUUCUUCACUCUAGUAAGUCCCGUAAUUCGUUUUACUUUUUGGUGAAUUUCAUGAUAAAAUACUUUUAGCCGUGUCAUGCAUUGGAUAAUGGAUUUCCCUAUUACAAAGCAUAUAUCUUCUCUCGUUCUAUGGUUUUUACAUUUAUGCUUAUUAAUUUUUUUCCUCUAUUGGUGAAAGUAAGCUAAAGUGAAGAUGUAGUUUGGAAAUUAUUAAUAUACAAAAGUUUUAAGUUCAAAAUGUGAAGUACUCAAGAGACGGUUAAUCUCAAUUUACUUUUCAGUAAAGUAGAAACUAGAAAGGGAAAAUUUACUUCCUUUUCAAAAUCAGAGCCUCCAGCUCCAUCUUUUCAAGCCUUGUGUGAAUGACUGAAUGUACUUGUUCGCUUCUUUUAAAUACUCUUGCUUUAGGUGAUAGGUACUUGAGACCAUGGAUUGUUCCUGUGCCUGAAACAACUUUCACAACUAGGAUUGAUGAGGACGAGUGUCAGAUACUGGCCAAUGACGGUCUUUGGGAUGGCUCAUUGCAUUUUAAGACGGCGACGCUGAUCUAUGACAGAUGAUGAGACUUCUGCAUCUCAAGCAGUUGCUCACAGCUUGACUAAAAUAUCUCUUGGGAUAAAUAGUACAGAUUCCUAUGGAAGGAAAGAUAUGUUCAGCUAAUGAAGCAUGCCAACAAUAUCCAUGUAAUAGAGACUUGAAAUACAAUGUGGAUAUGCAAGAU